GUGAACGCUGGCGGUAGGCCUAACACAUGCACGUCGAACGGCAGCACGGUAAGAGCUUGCUCUUACGGGUGGCGAGUGGCGGACGGGUGAGGAAUACAUCGGAAUCUACUUUUUCGUGGGGGAGAACGUAGGGAAACUUACGCUAAUACCGCAUACGACCUACGGGUGAAAGCAGGGGAUCUUCGGACCUUGCGCGAUUGAAUGAGCCGAUGUCGGAUUAGCUAGUUGGCGGGGUAAAGGCCCACCAAGGCGACGAUCCGUAGCUGGUCUGAGAGGAUGAUCAGCCACACUGGAACUGAGACACGGUCCAGACUCCUACGGGAGGCAGCAGUGGGGAAUAUUGGACAAUGGGCGCAAGCCUGAUCCAGCCAUACCGCGUGGGUGAAGAAGGCCUUCGGGUUGUAAAGCCCUUUUGUUGGGAAAGAAAAGCAGCAGGUUAAUACCCCGCUGUUCUGACGGUACCCAAAGAAUAAGCACCGGCUAACUUCGUG
Molecule: ribosomal RNA, 491 nt
Filed under: uncultured bacterium
Lineage: Bacteria
Description: partial 16S ribosomal RNA
Rfam family: Bacterial small subunit ribosomal RNA
Source: RNAcentral